RNAcentral lists this ribosomal RNA (2904 nucleotides) under Klebsiella oxytoca. RNAcentral's name for it is "bacterial LSU rRNA". It matches the Rfam family "Bacterial large subunit ribosomal RNA". Lineage: Bacteria; Pseudomonadati; Pseudomonadota; Gammaproteobacteria; Enterobacterales; Enterobacteriaceae. The record is from RNAcentral.
UUAAGCGACUAAGCGUACACGGUGGAUGCCCUGGCAGUCAGAGGCGAUGAAGGACGUGCUAAUCUGCGAAAAGCGUCGGUAAGGUGAUAUGAACCGUUACAGCCGGCGAUGUCCGAAUGGGGAAACCCAGUGCAAUUCGUUGCACUAUCGUUAACUGAAUACAUAGGUUAACGAGGCGAACCGGGGGAACUGAAACAUCUAAGUACCCCGAGGAAAAGAAAUCAACCGAGAUUCCCCCAGUAGCGGCGAGCGAACGGGGAGCAGCCCGGAGUCUGAAUCAGCUUGUGUGUUAGUGGAAGCGUCUGGAAAGUCGCAGGGUACAGGGUGAUACUCCCGUACACUAAAACACACAGGUUGUGAACUCGAAGAGUAGGGCGGGACACGUGGUAUCCUGUCUGAAUAUGGGGGGACCAUCCUCCAAGGCUAAAUACUCCUGACUGACCGAUAGUGAACCAGUACCGUGAGGGAAAGGCGAAAAGAACCCCGGCGAGGGGAGUGAAAAAGAACCUGAAACCGUGUACGUACAAGCAGUAGGAGCCCACUUGUUGGGUGACUGCGUACCUUUUGUAUAAUGGGUCAGCGACUUAUAUUCUGUAGCAAGGUUAACCGUAUAGGGGAGCCGCAGGGAAACCGAGUCUUAACUGGGCGUUAAGUUGCAGGGUAUAGACCCGAAACCCGGUGAUCUAGCCAUGGGCAGGUUGAAGGUUGGGUAACACUAACUGGAGGACCGAACCGACUAAUGUUGAAAAAUUAGCGGAUGACUUGUGGCUGGGGGUGAAAGGCCAAUCAAACCGGGAGAUAGCUGGUUCUCCCCGAAAGCUAUUUAGGUAGCGCCUCGUGAACUCAUCUUCGGGGGUAGAGCACUGUUUCGGCUAGGGGGUCAUCCCGACUUACCAACCCGAUGCAAACUACGAAUACCGAAGAAUGUUAUCACGGGAGACACACGGCGGGUGCUAACGUCCGUCGUGAAGAGGGAAACAACCCAGACCGCCAGCUAAGGUCCCAAAGUCAUGGUUAAGUGGGAAACGAUGUGGGAAGGCCCAGACAGCCAGGAUGUUGGCUUAGAAGCAGCCAUCAUUUAAAGAAAGCGUAAUAGCUCACUGGUCGAGUCGGCCUGCGCGGAAGAUGUAACGGGGCUAAACCAUGCACCGAAGCUGCGGCAGCGACACUAUGUGUUGUUGGGUAGGGGAGCGUUCUGUAAGCCGUUGAAGGUGGCCUGUGAGGGUUGCUGGAGGUAUCAGAAGUGCGAAUGCUGACAUAAGUAACGAUAAUGCGGGUGAAAAACCCGCACGCCGGAAGACCAAGGGUUCCUGUCCAACGUUAAUCGGGGCAGGGUGAGUCGACCCCUAAGGCGAGGCCGAAAGGCGUAGUCGAUGGGAAACAGGUUAAUAUUCCUGUACUCGGUGUUACUGCGAAGGGGGGACGGAGAAGGCUAUGUUGGCCGGGCGACGGUUGUCCCGGUUUAAGCAUGUAGGCGGAUGUUCCAGGUAAAUCCGGAAUGUCACUAACGCUGAGGUGUGAUGACGAGGCACUACGGUGCUGAAGUGACAAAUGCCCUGCUUCCAGGAAAAGCCUCUAAGCAUCAGGUAACAUCAAAUCGUACCCCAAACCGACACAGGUGGUCAGGUAGAGAAUACCAAGGCGCUUGAGAGAACUCGGGUGAAGGAACUAGGCAAAAUGGUGCCGUAACUUCGGGAGAAGGCACGCUGAUGGUAGGUGAAGCGACUUGCUCGUGGAGCUGAAAUCAGUCGAAGAUACCAGCUGGCUGCAACUGUUUAUUAAAAACACAGCACUGUGCAAACACGAAAGUGGACGUAUACGGUGUGACGCCUGCCCGGUGCCGGAAGGUUAAUUGAUGGGGUUAUCCUCGCGGAGAAGCUCUUGAUCGAAGCCCCGGUAAACGGCGGCCGUAACUAUAACGGUCCUAAGGUAGCGAAAUUCCUUGUCGGGUAAGUUCCGACCUGCACGAAUGGCGUAAUGAUGGCCAGGCUGUCUCCACCCGAGACUCAGUGAAAUUGAACUCGCUGUGAAGAUGCAGUGUACCCGCGGCAAGACGGAAAGACCCCGUGAACCUUUACUAUAGCUUGACACUGAACACUGGUCCUUGAUGUGUAGGAUAGGUGGGAGGCUUUGAAGUGUGGACGCCAGUCUGCAUGGAGCCAUCCUUGAAAUACCACCCUUUAAUGGCUGGUGUUCUAACGUGGGCCCGUAAUCCGGGUUGCGGACAGUGUCUGGUGGGUAGUUUGACUGGGGCGGUCUCCUCCUAAAGAGUAACGGAGGAGCACGAAGGUCAGCUAAUCCUGGUCGGACAUCAGGAGGUUAGUGCAAUGGCAUAAGCUGGCUUGACUGCGAGCGUGACGGCGCGAGCAGGUGCGAAAGCAGGUCAUAGUGAUCCGGUGGUUCUGAAUGGAAGGGCCAUCGCUCAACGGAUAAAAGGUACUCCGGGGAUAACAGGCUGAUACCGCCCAAGAGUUCAUAUCGACGGCGGUGUUUGGCACCUCGAUGUCGGCUCAUCACAUCCUGGGGCUGAAGUAGGUCCCAAGGGUAUGGCUGUUCGCCAUUUAAAGUGGUACGCGAGCUGGGUUUAGAACGUCGUGAGACAGUUCGGUCCCUAUCUGCCGUGGGCGCUGGAGAAUUGAGGGGGGCUGCUCCUAGUACGAGAGGACCGGAGUGGACGCAUCACUGGUGUUCGGGUUGUCAUGCCAAUGGCAUUGCCCGGUAGCUAAAUGCGGAAGAGAUAAGUGCUGAAAGCAUCUAAGCACGAAACUUGCCCCGAGAUGAGUUCUCCCUGACCCUUUAAGGGUCCUGAAGGAACGUUGAAGACGACGACGUUGAUAGGCCGGGUGUGUAAGCGCAGCGAUGCGUUGAGCUAACCGGUACUAAUGAACCGUGAGGCUUAACCUU